This 253-nucleotide ribosomal RNA is filed under the name uncultured bacterium. Its description in RNAcentral is "partial 16S ribosomal RNA". It matches the Rfam family "Bacterial small subunit ribosomal RNA", at positions 524 to 776 of the family's 1533-position model. The record is from RNAcentral.
UACGUAGGAUGCAAGCGUUGUUCGGAAUUACUGGGCGUAAAGAGUACGUAGGCGGUGACAUAAGUCUGAUAUUAAAGACAGGGGCUCAACCUCUGGAGUGUAUCGGAAACUGUGUUACUAGAGGACAGUAGGGGAAGUCGGAAUUCUCAGUGUAGCGGUGAAAUGCGUAGAUAUUGGGAAGAACACCGGUCGCGAAAGCGGACUUCUGGGCUGUUACUGACGCUGAGGUACGAAAGUGUGGGGAGCAAACAGG